Long non-coding RNA from Gossypium arboreum, 1079 nucleotides. RefSeq lists it as uncharacterized. The transcript is spliced from 2 exons. The record is from RefSeq and is a predicted model, not a curated record. NCBI's taxonomy places the organism in Eukaryota, Viridiplantae, Streptophyta, Magnoliopsida, Malvales, Malvaceae.
GCAACAACACCUGUAACAGAAAGUAGAUAACAACCAAUAGAAGAGUUUAUUUAUUUUUCUAGGCUAUAAAAGCCAUUCUAAACAUUGCAAACAGGGUCUUUUUUUUUUUUUUUUUUUGCUCAUUAUAUAAGUACACUAGCAGAAAUUAUAGAGGAAAAAUGGGAAGUAAAUCAAAAAUCUAGUCUCAGGAUUGAAAGGUGAAUCAUCGAUGUUAGGAGGAAAAGCGUGAUAAUUAGAUUGUUGCACAAGGAUUGGUUGGCAACGAAAAUGAUCGAUUCACCUUAAUCAAUGAGAAGGGCGACCGAAGUUGGAGAGGAGAGGAAAGGAAGGAUGAAGAUAGUGGGCUGCCUUUUCCUCUCAUUAGGCUCCGGGCCGGCUUUAUAUAGGUUAAUUGUCCCUGUUUUACGGUGUCACGUAUUGAGUUGAUAUUCACGAGUCACGACAUCAUCUCUUAAGCAAGUUGCAGAAGAUUUCCAUUAAGAAUCUCAAGUGAGGAAUUGUAUAUGACAGCGAACUGUUCUCCUCUGUCAGCGAGGUGUAACAGGAGGGAAAUAAUUGGGUUUGUUGGACUCGGUACCUGCAAGAAUUGGUUGAAUCAACCUGUUGAUUAAAAUACUCAACCAGGACCUUUCGUCCAAUUUUUUUUAAUAUUUGUUUUUGGAUACUUUGAUGCAUUUAGUUAAACUAAGUUAAAUGGGGGAAUUGCAGUAGUUAGUUAUUGCUACUUACGGUCUGUAAAACGAUUUCAGGGAAAUUUAUUAGUAUCAUAUAUAUAAACCACUAUCAGGGUUCCUAGUGGAACUCCUAGUAGCUUAGUCAAACUACAAAGUUCCCAUAAUAUAACAGGAUGGAUCCAUCAGAGCAUUUAUCAGACUUAGUUUAUCAACAAAAACAAACUAUAUAUUAAACCCAUUGAUCUAAAUGGGUGGUUCAAACAGUUGCAAUAGGACCCAAGCUAACGAUGGAUUCCAUGGUCUUCAUGGCUUCGAACCUCGGCUCCUUGUCUUCGAACUUCAGGGCGGGGUAGACCUUCAUGUAGUCCUCGAACACGAAUUUCGGGUACGCAAUGGGUUUCUCAG